CAGAUUGAACGCUGGCGGCAGGCCUAACACAUGCAAGUCGAGCGGAAACGACACUAACAAUCCUUCGGGUGCGUUAAUGGGCGUCGAGCGGCGGACGGGUGAGUAAUGCCUAGGAAAUUGCCUUGAUGUGGGGGAUAACCAUUGGAAACGAUGGCUAAUACCGCAUAAUGCCUACGGGCCAAAGAGGGGGAUCUUCGGACCUCUCGCGUCAAGAUAUGCCUAGGUGGGAUUAGCUAGUUGGUGAGGUAAUGGCUCACCAAGGCGACGAUCCCUAGCUGGUCUGAGAGGAUGAUCAGCCACACUGGAACUGAGACACGGUCCAGACUCCUACGGGAGGCAGCAGUGGGGAAUAUUGCACAAUGGGCGAAAGCCUGAUGCAGCCAUGCCGCGUGUAUGAAGAAGGCCUUCGGGUUGUAAAGUACUUUCAGUUGUGAGGAAGGGGGUAACGUUAAUAGCGUUAUCUCUUGACGUUAGCAACAGAAGAAGCACCGGCUAACUCCGUGCCAGCAGCCGCGGUAAUACGGAGGGUGCGAGCGUUAAUCGGAAUUACUGGGCGUAAAGCGCAUGCAGGUGGUUCAUUAAGUCAGAUGUGAAAGCCCGGGGCUCAACCUCGGAACUGCAUUUGAAACUGGUGAACUAGAGUGCUGUAGAGGGGGGUAGAAUUUCAGGUGUAGCGGUGAAAUGCGUAGAGAUCUGAAGGAAUACCAGUGGCGAAGGCGGCCCCCUGGACAGACACUGACACUCAGAUGCGAAAGCGUGGGGAGCAAACAGGAUUAGAUACCCUGGUAGUCCACGCCGUAAACGAUGUCUACUUGGAGGUUGUGGCCUUGAGCCGUGGCUUUCGGAGCUAACGCGUUAAGUAGACCGCCUGGGGAGUACGGUCGCAAGAUUAAAACUCAAAUGAAUUGACGGGGGCCCGCACAAGCGGUGGAGCAUGUGGUUUAAUUCGAUGCAACGCGAAGAACCUUACCUACUCUUGACAUCCAGAGAAGCCAGCGGAGACGCAGGUGUGCCUUCGGGAACUCUGAGACAGGUGCUGCAUGGCUGUCGUCAGCUCGUGUUGUGAAAUGUUGGGUUAAGUCCCGCAACGAGCGCAACCCUUAUCCUUGUUUGCCAGCGAGUAAUGUCGGGAACUCCAGGGAGACUGCCGGUGAUAAACCGGAGGAAGGUGGGGACGACGUCNAGUCAUCAUGGCCCUUACGAGUAGGGCUACACACGUGCUACAAUGGCGCAUACAGAGGGCAGCAAGCUAGCGAUAGUGAGCGAAUCCCAAAAGUGCGUCGU
This 1284-nucleotide ribosomal RNA is filed under the name Vibrio sp. S679. Its description in RNAcentral is "bacterial SSU rRNA". It matches the Rfam family "Bacterial small subunit ribosomal RNA", at positions 25 to 1289 of the family's 1533-position model. Lineage: Bacteria; Pseudomonadati; Pseudomonadota; Gammaproteobacteria; Vibrionales; Vibrionaceae. The record is from RNAcentral.